RNAcentral lists this ribosomal RNA (555 nucleotides) under Triticum aestivum (bread wheat). Its description in RNAcentral is "partial small subunit ribosomal RNA". Lineage: Eukaryota; Viridiplantae; Streptophyta; Magnoliopsida; Poales; Poaceae. The record is from RNAcentral.
AUGUGUGUUUCAGACAUAACAUUUCUGAAUCUAAUAGCACUAAUAGAGACAGCAGGCUAUGGAGAGGAUGACUACAUGUACUUUGUUAGGGAUGCUGGCUUGGGAGUAGCUGGUUUGGAAGAGAUAUAUGAUGAUGACAAGGUUAAUGAGAUGCUAGACCACAUUGCCAACAGAGAUCAGACCAUAGUUAAUCUGACAGUAGUUAGGGGUAGUGAGCCCAGACCUGGAGAUUUAAACAUAAGUCAUGUUUGUGAGCAGCAGGUCCCUAUAGAUAGUGUUGGCGAGAGGACUGUGUAUGAGGUCAGUGAUGAAGGUGUGGUGUACAGGUCACCAUCCAAAAAAACAAGGAGAGUUGCACAAGUUGAUGAGCAGGAGGCACAUCCAAUACAAUUUUACUCCAGAGAGCAGAGCACACAUGAGAUGUUGAUUUGGAGCAAGAGGAGUUGGAAAGAAGUAUGGAGCUUAAGAGGAGGAAUAAAAUACAGAGGUAUAAGAAGCAUAAGAAGAGUGUUGAGAGGGUGGAGGCAAUUAAAAGAAAACUUCCUGUUUUACUAA